This 162-nucleotide ribosomal RNA is filed under the name Megistostigma yunnanense. RNAcentral's name for it is "5.8S ribosomal RNA". It matches the Rfam family "5.8S ribosomal RNA". Rfam says of the family: 5.8S ribosomal RNA (5.8S rRNA) is a component of the large subunit of the eukaryotic ribosome. The record is from RNAcentral. Lineage: Eukaryota; Viridiplantae; Streptophyta; Magnoliopsida; Malpighiales; Euphorbiaceae.
AACGACUCUCGGCAACGGAUAUCUUGGCUCUCGCAUCGAUGAAGAACGCAGCAAAAUGCGAUACUUGGUGUGAAUUGCAGAAUCACGUGAAUCAUCGAGUUUUUGAACGCAAGUUGCGCCCGAAGCCUUUCGGCCGAGGGCACGUCUGCCUGGGUGUCACGC